UACAGAGGGUGCAAGCGUUAAUCGGAAUUACUGGGCGUAAAGCGUGCGUAGUCGGUUAUUUAAGUCGGAUGUGAAAUCCCCGGGCUCAACCUGGGAAUUGCAUUCGAUACUGGAUAGCUAGAGUUCGGCAGAGGGAAGUGGAAUUUCGGGUGUAGCGGUGAAAUGCGUAGAUAUCAGGAGGAACACCGGUGGCGAAGGCGGGUCUCUGGGCCGAUACUGACGCUGAGGAGCGAAAGCGUGGGGAGCGAACAGG
Molecule: ribosomal RNA, 253 nt
Filed under: uncultured bacterium
Lineage: Bacteria
Description: partial 16S ribosomal RNA
Rfam family: Bacterial small subunit ribosomal RNA
Source: RNAcentral